This 1481-nucleotide long non-coding RNA is filed under the name Strigops habroptila (Kakapo). RNAcentral's name for it is "lncRNA (ENSSHBG00005016196.1)". Lineage: Eukaryota; Metazoa; Chordata; Aves; Psittaciformes; Psittacidae. The record is from RNAcentral.
GGGGCUCACACCAACUUCACCUAACAGUGAGGGACACCGACGGCCAGGUUCGCCUGCAUUGCCUGGAUAAAGGAGUGAGAGAGAGCCCUGAGGGGCGAGCUGAGAGCCAUGAGUGUCUGAUGAGAAACCAUCACAACAUUUAAAAUGAGUUUAGGGCAAUCCGGUUAUGACAUUUUUUUUAAUUGAUAAACUGUUCCAGAUGUUUCCUCCCUUGACUGAGAAGUGUCAGAAUUGAUGGAUAACAAGUAUGUAGAGAUGCAGUGUUUUAAGGAGGUAUAAGGAAAGCAGCUUUAUUUGGAAUUCACACUCUCAGUACAUUUGUAAGUAACAGAUUCGUACUUCCUAACGUUUGUCUCUUCUGUGCACUCCUGUUGAGAUGGUCAUGAAUAGGACUGUCAAAUCCAUUUCGUAGAGCAAGUAGACUUGAGGGUUGAGAUAUUGCGAGGAUGGUGUGUGGUUUAAAAUGCCUGUGUAAACAUGUUAUGUAAGGAUGGAGAGCUAAUUGCAUCAUUUGUCACUUUUCAUCAUCUCCACUCAGAAGGAUGUGCACAAGGAUGUAUCUAUAGCUAGCUGCCUAAGUAUCAGCCUUGUGUUACAGGGGAAAUAUGGCGAAAGCCAAGCAGCCAAAUUAUGUGACUGCAGCCAGCCCAGAGUAUGCAAAGCUGUGACAGAAACGUCCCCUCUGUAGUUAUGGAUGUCCUACACUUUAAUCUUACGGUUUCCGACCAUUGGCUGGUAGCUUCUGUUAUGAUAAUGUCUGGGUUGAUAUUGCCAGGCAGUUUCUUGGCUUACUACUGAACAUAAAGCUUAUCAAUCGCCAAUAUUGUUAGAUUUUCAUGGACAUGCAAAAUUCCAUGCUGGGAGCUUUACCUGGAGUGCAUGUGGUAAAGUAUCCACUGGAAAAUUAACAGCUGAGAGUUUGACAGGAUGAACAGAGAAUUAAUUGUUGCUUUAUUUCUUAAGACUGUGCGUUUACUGCUGGAGUCAUUCUCAUGUCAGGAUCCAAGUUCUGUGGAUCUGUGGUGUUCUGUGGUGGGCAGAUCUUUACAGCUGUGUUUUUAUUUCUUGAAGCAGAAGAAUCUUUUCCCAUGUUUCAUUUACGUUCUUUAAACUCACGAUUCCCUUCUGAAAGACUUGCGCAGAUGCUUCCUUCUGUACUGAAGCCCUAAGCUAUUGUAAACCUGUGAGGCCCCAGUGUACCACGCUGAAACCCUAACCUACGCGGCUAGCGAAGUAAACCCUGCAGCCUAUGUUGUUUCCUUCAGGUGAGAAGCAUCAGAAGUGAGUCGGUUAUGAAUGUUUUGCGGUGCUUUUCCUUCAAGCCAAAGAUGGGGGUUUUACGUGGAACUGUAAGUCCGUGAAAGAGAGCGGAAAGGGGAGAGAGACUCCCUCUUCUGGGUUAAGCACUCAGAUUCAGCCUGAGCACCACGAUUUCUCGCAUCGCUCCGUCGGCCAGUAACCAGAUAACUGUUAAAAUUUUU